UACGUAGGGUGCAAGCGUUGUCCGGAAUUAUUGGGCGUAAAGAGCUCGUAGGCGGUCUGUCGCGUCGGAUGUGAAAAUCCAGGGCUCAACCCUGGACCUGCAUUCGAUACGGGCAGACUAGAGUUCGGCAGGGGGAGACUGGAAUUCCUGGUGUAGCGGUGAAAUGCGCAGAUAUCAGGAGGAACACCGGUGGCGAAGGCGGCGAUCUGGGGUAGAUACUGACGCUGAGGUGCGAAAGCGUGGGGAGCAAACAGG
RNAcentral lists this ribosomal RNA (255 nucleotides) under uncultured bacterium. Its description in RNAcentral is "partial 16S ribosomal RNA". It matches the Rfam family "Bacterial small subunit ribosomal RNA", at positions 524 to 776 of the family's 1533-position model. The record is from RNAcentral.